This 251-nucleotide ribosomal RNA is filed under the name uncultured bacterium. RNAcentral's name for it is "partial 16S ribosomal RNA". It matches the Rfam family "Bacterial small subunit ribosomal RNA", at positions 525 to 775 of the family's 1533-position model. The record is from RNAcentral.
ACGUAGGGGGCAAGCGUUAUCCGGAUUUACUGGGUGUAAAGGGAGCGCAGACGGCACUGCAAGUCUGAAGUGAAAGCCCGGGGCUCAACCCCGGGACUGCUUUGGAAACUGUAGGGCUAGAGUGCUGGAGAGGCAAGCGGAAUUCCUAGUGUAGCGGUGAAAUGCGUAGAUAUUAGGAAGAACACCAGUGGCGAAGGCGGCUUGCUGGACAGUAACUGACGUUCAGGCUCGAAAGCGUGGGGAGCAAACAG